RNAcentral lists this ribosomal RNA (270 nucleotides) under uncultured archaeon. RNAcentral's name for it is "partial 16S ribosomal RNA". It matches the Rfam family "Archaeal small subunit ribosomal RNA", at positions 477 to 747 of the family's 1478-position model. The record is from RNAcentral.
CAGCACCUCAAGUGGUCAGGAUGAUUAUUGGGCCUAAAGCAUCCGUAGCCGGCGCUGUAAGUUUUCGGUUAAAUCUGUGCGCUCAACGUACAGGCUGCCGGGAAUACUGCAGCGCUAGGAAGUGGGAGAGGUAGACGGUACUCGGUAGGAAGGGGUAAAAUCCUUUGAUCUAUUGAUGACCACCUGUGGCGAAGGCGGUCUACCAGAACACGUCCGACGGUGAGGGAUGAAAGCUGGGGGAGCAAACCGGAUUAGAUACCCGAGUAGUCC